RNAcentral lists this long non-coding RNA (583 nucleotides) under Bos taurus (domestic cattle). RNAcentral's name for it is "long non-coding RNA NONBTAT007528". The record is from RNAcentral. Lineage: Eukaryota; Metazoa; Chordata; Mammalia; Artiodactyla; Bovidae.
AAAUAAAUGGUAGGAAUCCAUUAUGGGAAUCCAGCUGAAAGAGCAGUUAAUUCUGCGUUGUUGCGGCCGCAGUAGAAUUUGGGGAUGAUUUUAUAGCAGAAGCGUUGUUUAAGUCAGACAGUAAAGAUGGAGUAGGAUUUUUCCAAAGGGAAAAGAUGAUGAAGGUGAUUACCAGUGCAGAGAACAGUGGGCCAAGCUUGAGGCAUGGACAUGUGAUGAAUACUCACAUGCUGGUAGCUUACUGCUGGUGCUUAAGGUGGAUUAUGCCAGAUUCUGUCCCAGGUGCUAAUGGGGAGUUAAAGGUAAAAUGGUAAUACUGGUAGGGGCCAGAUUAUUGCUUUCUAAAAUUAUGCUUAGGAUUUUAGUAUAUUGUUUAUUUUUGAUUGAUUCUAACAAUCAUAAAUUGUUUAGAUUUUUGAGCAGGUAAGUGAUGUGGUGAGAUUUGGGGCUUAGAAAACAGGCAGCUUUCUUAAGGAUUUGUAAAGGUAGCAGCUUUGUUAAGGAUUGAUAAUGGAGGCCAGACUGGAGCCAGGGAAAUGUAGUAAUUGCAGCAGCCAUGGUGUCAGAUUAGGUUGCGGUAAGA